This 1252-nucleotide ribosomal RNA is filed under the name metagenome. RNAcentral describes it as "bacterial LSU rRNA". It matches the Rfam family "Bacterial large subunit ribosomal RNA", at positions 1633 to 2877 of the family's 2925-position model. The record is from RNAcentral.
CCGAUACGACCGUACCGCAAACCGACACUGGUGCGCGAGAUGAGUAUUCUAAGGCGCUUGAGAGAACUCAGGAGAAGGAACUCGGCAAAUUGACACCGUAACUUCGGAAGAAGGUGUGCCCUAUUAGUGUGUAGUGAACAACGAAGCAUGAAUGGGUUGCAAAAAAUCGGUGGCUGCGACUGUUUAUUAAAAACACAGCACUCUGCAAACACGAAAGUGGACGUAUAGGGUGUGACGCCUGCCCGGUGCUGGAAGAUUAAAUGAUGGGGUGCAAGCUCUUGAUUGAAGUCCCAGUAAACGGCGGCCGUAACUAUAACGGUCCUAAGGUAGCGAAAUUCCUUGUCGGGUAAGUUCCGACCUGCACGAAUGGCGUAACGAUGGCCACACUGUCUCCUCCUGAGACUCAGCGAAGUUGAAAUGUUUGUGAUGAUGCAAUCUCCCCGCGGAAAGACGGAAAGACCCCAUGAACCUUUACUGUAGCUUUGUAUUGGACUUUGAACAGAUCUGUGUAGGAUAGGUGGGAGGCUUUGAAGCAGGGUCGCUAGAUCUUGUGGAGCCAACGUUGAAAUACCACCCUGGUGUGUUUGAGGUUCUAACCUAGGUCCAUUAUCUGGAUCGGGGACAGUGCAUGGUAGGCAGUUUGGCUGGGGCGGUCUCCUCCCAAAGCGUAACGGAGGAGUUCGAAGGUACGCUAGUUACGGUCGGACAUCGUGACGAUAGUGCAAUGGCAUAAGCGUGCUUAACUGCGAGACUGACAAGUCGAGCAGAUGCGAAAGCAGGACAUAGUGAUCCGGUGGUUCUGUAUGGAAGGGCCAUCGCUCAACGGAUAAAAGGUACUCUGGGGAUAACAGGCUGAUACCGCCCAAGAGUUCAUAUCGACGGCGGUGUUUGGCACCUCGAUGUCGGCUCAUCUCAUCCUGGGGCUGUAGCCGGUCCCAAGGGUAUGGCUGUUCGCCAUUUAAAGAGGUACGUGAGCUGGGUUUAAAACGUCGUGAGACAGUUUGGUCCCUAUCUUCCGUGGGCGCUGCAGAUUUGGGGAAGCCUGCUCCUAGUACGAGAGGACCGGAGUGGACACACCUCUGGUGUAUCGGUUGUCACGCCAGUGGCAUUGCCGAGUAGCUAAGUGUGGAAGAGAUAACCGCUGAAAGCAUCUAAGCGGGAAACUCGUUUCAAGAUGAGAUCUGCCGGGGCCUUGAGCCCCCUAAAGAGUCGUUCAAGACCAGGACGUUGAUAGGUCAGGUGUGGAAGCGAA